Molecule: long non-coding RNA, 567 nt
Organism: Puntigrus tetrazona (Sumatra barb)
Lineage: Eukaryota; Metazoa; Chordata; Actinopteri; Cypriniformes; Cyprinidae
Exons: 2
Source: RefSeq, a predicted model, not a curated record
ACAGACACUCACUCACACACACACACACACACACACACUCACACACAAAUACACACGCACGCACACACACACACAUGUGCGCACACACACACACGCAGCUAAUGCGACAGCAAACAGUGGUGUGGAGCCGCGGGCCGGUGAUUAAUGCUGUCGAUUAGCGAGUACAAACUUAUCUGCAGAGUAAACGCUGCCGCUGGGUGUGUGUGUGUGUGUGUGUGUGUGUGUGUGUGUGUGUGUGUGUGUGUGUGUGUGUGUUGUGCAACAGGAAAAAGCCAAUUUCCUUAAAUCAUGAUUUAUAAUCAGAUCUCUUUAUGACUCUGAUUGUCUUUACUUUAGAUUACAGAGCAGUUAAUGAGGUCAUGAUGCAAUCUGUCCCCGACGCAGAGAAAAUCCCCCUCGAGGAGAAGUUACUGACUGCUUCUCUCUCAACGAUCAGGUUUCCUUCAAAUCCUCCGAUUAACCACCACUGGAUAUCAUUAUAGUGGACUAACAGUGAUGAUUAUUGGUCCGGCUGCACUGAUGACUAAUGGUGCACACACACACACACACACACACACACACACACAC